AUUGCACAUUUGAGUUAAAGAUGAAAACAAAAAGAGCAGUGUGACCGUCGCUCAGGGAUGUCAAAAAGUGGAGAGGCUCUGUGACUUUUUGGUGCCACUGGAGAGUGUUUGGGAAGCAGCGACAGGAACUCCUCCUUUACAUUUCUCUCCUGAGUUUCCUGUUUGUCUGCAGAUUGCAGACUGGGGUCAAACGAGCGAAUGCCAUGAGCUCAUUCCAGAGGAGGUGCAGGAAGGUUUCACUCUGGGAGUCACCAAGCACACAGUGCUUCACUUUCCAUGGUGACGGCCAGAUGGGUAAACAGAGAGGCUUUCUUUCUCCUGUCCAGCCAGGACAGUGUCAUUAUGCAACCAAAGGGCUGCUGCUCCCCUUGGGGGAGGCUGUAAGUGACCACACCCAAACACUAGAACAGGACUGCAUCUCUGCUGUCAUCAGGCACGCCCAAGAACAUAAUUAUUCACCUAUUUCUCCAGGCACUUCUCUCCCCCUGAAGUGCAUGCAGACAGUGAUGUUGAAGCAGUUCAGGUUCUGGUGACCUUCAUGGCACUGCGGCACGGAGAUGUUGAUGGAGACGGGCAGGAAGAUGGAGAUGUCCACUGUAAUGACAGGGCGCGACCUGCGACCACACAAACCCAGACAGAGAACCGUGUGGGAGAAACCCUUCAUUUAAACCACGGUGAGGAAGAGAAAGAAUCACUAUUUAGGUUUUCAUAGGUAGAGAACUCACCUCAGCAGAACCACACUGUCUCCCAUAAAUGCUCCAAUGGUGACAUCUGCAGCAAAGACAUGAUGGAUUUUGAAAAACCAUUAAGAAGACACAACGCUAAUGCAACAUCAGCAGUGUUUACACCUGCAAAUUCCAAAACAAUGCACAAACUGAGGCCUUCCAACGUCAUGAAGGCUCAGUCUAUCAGCAAUGGAAUGCAGUAAACAACAUGCUUCUGUCAGUCAUGGGACAGAAAAUAUGCUAUUGUUGAUUCCAAGAAACUACAAAUGUUAAACAGAAAAACAAGAAUGU
This is a long non-coding RNA of Gambusia affinis (western mosquitofish), 1016 nucleotides long. RefSeq lists it as uncharacterized. Lineage: Eukaryota; Metazoa; Chordata; Actinopteri; Cyprinodontiformes; Poeciliidae. The transcript has 3 exons. The record is from RefSeq and is a predicted model, not a curated record.